RNAcentral lists this ribosomal RNA (498 nucleotides) under uncultured Kineosporia sp. RNAcentral describes it as "bacterial SSU rRNA". It matches the Rfam family "Bacterial small subunit ribosomal RNA", at positions 1 to 526 of the family's 1533-position model. Lineage: Bacteria; Bacillati; Actinomycetota; Actinomycetes; Kineosporiales; Kineosporiaceae. The record is from RNAcentral.
UAGAGUUUGAUCAUGGCUCAGGACGAACGCUGGCGGCGUGCUUAACACAUGCAAGUCGAACGGUGAAGCCCUUCGGGGUGGAUCAGUGGCGAACGGGUGAGUAACACGUGAGCAAUCUGCCCUUGGCUCUGGGAUAACUUCGGGAAACCGGAGCUAACACCGGAUAUGACAUACGGCCGCAUGGUCUGUGUGUGGAAAGAUUUAUCGGUCAGGGAUGAGCUCGCGGCCUAUCAGCUUGUUGGUGGGGUAAUGGCCUACCAAGGSGACGACGGGUAGCCGGCCUGAGAGGGCGACCGGCCACACUGGGACUGAGACACGGCCCAGACUCCUACGGGAGGCAGCAGUGGGGAAUAUUGGACAAUGGGCGCAAGCCUGAUCCAGCCAUGCCGCGUGAGUGAUGAAGGCCCUAGGGUUGUAAAGCUCUUUUGUGCGGGAAGAUAAUGACGGUACCGCRAGAAUAAGCCCCGGCUAACUUCGUGCCAGCMGCCGCGGKAAUAC